This 253-nucleotide ribosomal RNA is filed under the name uncultured bacterium. RNAcentral describes it as "partial 16S ribosomal RNA". It matches the Rfam family "Bacterial small subunit ribosomal RNA", at positions 524 to 776 of the family's 1533-position model. The record is from RNAcentral.
UACGUAGGUGGCAAGCGUUGUCCGGAUUUACUGGGCGUAAAGCGCACGUAGGCGGAUAUUUAAGUCAGGGGUGAAAUCCCAGAGCUCAACUCUGGAACUGCCUUUGAUACUGGGUAUCUUGAGUAUGGAAGAGGUAAGUGGAAUUGCGAGUGUAGAGGUGAAAUUCGUAGAUAUUCGCAGGAACACCAGUGGCGAAGGCGGCUUACUGGUCCAUAACUGACGCUGAGGUGCGAAAGCGUGGGGAGCAAACAGG